UUAAGCGACUAAGCGUACACGGUGGAUGCCCUGGCAGUCAGAGGCGAUGAAGGGCGUGCUAAUCUGCGAUAAGCGCCGGUAAGGUGAUAUGAACCGUUAUAACCGGCGAUACCCGAAUGGGGAAACCCAGUGUGACUCGUCACACUAUCAUUAACUGAAUCCAUAGGUUAAUGAGGCGAACCGGGGGAACUGAAACAUCUAAGUACCCCGAGGAAAAGAAAUCAACCGAGAUUCCCCCAGUAGCGGCGAGCGAACGGGGAGGAGCCCAGAGCCUGAAUCAGCAUGUGUGUUAGUGGAAGCGUCUGGAAAGGCGCGCGAUACAGGGUGACAGCCCCGUACACAAAAGCGCAUGUGCUGUGAGCUCGAUGAGUAGGGCGGGACACGUGGUAUCCUGUCUGAAUAUGGGGGGACCAUCCUCCAAGGCUAAAUACUCCUGACUGACCGAUAGUGAACCAGUACCGUGAGGGAAAGGCGAAAAGAACCCCGGCGAGGGGAGUGAAAAAGAACCUGAAACCGUGUACGUACAAGCAGUGGGAGCCCCACCACUAAGCCAGUGGUGAACUCCACAUACGCAUCCUUUGCUGAGGAUACGGUUAACGGAGCGAAAGCGACGUUCAACCUCAAAAGAAGCAGAGGGGGCUUAGUGGUGGGGUGACUGCGUACCUUUUGUAUAAUGGGUCAGCGACUUAUAUUCUGUAGCAAGGUUAACCGUAUAGGGGAGCCGUAGGGAAACCGAGUCUUAACCGGGCGUUAAGUUGCAGGGUAUAGACCCGAAACCCGGUGAUCUAGCCAUGGGCAGGUUGAAGGUUGGGUAACACUAACUGGAGGACCGAACCGACUAAUGUUGAAAAAUUAGCGGAUGACCUGUGGCUGGGGGUGAAAGGCCAAUCAAACCGGGAGAUAGCUGGUUCUCCCCGAAAGCUAUUUAGGUAGCGCCUCGUGAAUUCAUCUCCGGGGGUAGAGCACUGUUUCGGCUAGGGGGCCAUCCCGGCUUACCAACCCGAUGCAAACUGCGAAUACCGGAGAAUGUUAUCACGGGAGACACACGGCGGGUGCUAACGUCCGUCGUGAAGAGGGAAACAACCCAGACCGCCAGCUAAGGUCCCAAAGUCAUGGUUAAGUGGGAAACGAUGUGGGAAGGCCCAGACAGCCAGGAUGUUGGCUUAGAAGCAGCCAUCAUUUAAAGAAAGCGUAAUAGCUCACUGGUCGAGUCGGCCUGCGCGGAAGAUGUAACGGGGCUAAACCAUGCACCGAAGCUGCGGCAGCGACGUUUAUGCGUUGUUGGGUAGGGGAGCGUUCUGUAAGCCUGCGAAGGUGGCCUGUGAGGGUUGCUGGAGGUAUCAGAAGUGCGAAUGCUGACAUAAGUAACGAUAAAGCGGGUGAAAAGCCCGCUCGCCGGAAGACCAAGGGUUCCUGUCCAACGUUAAUCGGGGCAGGGUGAGUCGACCCCUAAGGCGAGGCCGAAAGGCGUAGUCGAUGGGAAACGGGUUAAUAUUCCCGUACUUGGUGUUACUGCGAAGGGGGGACGGAGAAGGCUAUGUUGGCCGGGCGACGGUUGUCCCGGUUUAAGCGUGUAGGCUGGUUUUCCAGGCAAAUCCGGAAAAUCAAGGCUGAGGCGUGACGACGAGGCACUACGGUGCUGAAGCAACAAAUGCCCUGCUUCCAGGAAAAGCCUCUAAGCAUCAGGUAACAUCAAAUCGUACCCCAAACCGACACAGGUGGUCAGGUAGAGAAUACCAAGGCGCUUGAGAGAACUCGGGUGAAGGAACUAGGCAAAAUGGUGCCGUAACUUCGGGAGAAGGCACGCUGACAUGUAGGUGAAGUGAUUUACUCAUGGAGCUGAAGUCAGUCGAAGAUACCAGCUGGCUGCAACUGUUUAUUAAAAACACAGCACUGUGCAAACACGAAAGUGGACGUAUACGGUGUGACGCCUGCCCGGUGCCGGAAGGUUAAUUGAUGGGGUCAGCGCAAGCGAAGCUCCUGAUCGAAGCCCCGGUAAACGGCGGCCGUAACUAUAACGGUCCUAAGGUAGCGAAAUUCCUUGUCGGGUAAGUUCCGACCUGCACGAAUGGCGUAAUGAUGGCCAGGCUGUCUCCACCCGAGACUCAGUGAAAUUGAACUCGCUGUGAAGAUGCAGUGUACCCGCGGCAAGACGGAAAGACCCCGUGAACCUUUACUAUAGCUUGACACUGAACAUUGAGCCUUGAUGUGUAGGAUAGGUGGGAGGCUUUGAAGCGUGGACGCCAGUCUGCGUGGAGCCGACCUUGAAAUACCACCCUUUAAUGUUUGAUGUUCUAACGUGGACCCGUUACCCGGGUUGCGGACAGUGUCUGGUGGGUAGUUUGACUGGGGCGGUCUCCUCCUAAAGAGUAACGGAGGAGCACGAAGGUUGGCUAAUCCUGGUCGGACAUCAGGAGGUUAGUGCAAUGGCAUAAGCCAGCUUGACUGCGAGCGUGACGGCGCGAGCAGGUGCGAAAGCAGGUCAUAGUGAUCCGGUGGUUCUGAAUGGAAGGGCCAUCGCUCAACGGAUAAAAGGUACUCCGGGGAUAACAGGCUGAUACCGCCCAAGAGUUCAUAUCGACGGCGGUGUUUGGCACCUCGAUGUCGGCUCAUCACAUCCUGGGGCUGAAGUAGGUCCCAAGGGUAUGGCUGUUCGCCAUUUAAAGUGGUACGCGAGCUGGGUUUAGAACGUCGUGAGACAGUUCGGUCCCUAUCUGCCGUGGGCGCUGGAGAACUGAGGGGGGCUGCUCCUAGUACGAGAGGACCGGAGUGGACGCAUCACUGGUGUUCGGGUUGUCAUGCCAAUGGCACUGCCCGGUAGCUAAAUGCGGAAGAGAUAAGUGCUGAAAGCAUCUAAGCACGAAACUUGCCCCGAGAUGAGUUCUCCCUGAGACUUUAGGUCUCCUGAAGGAACGUUGAAGACGACGACGUUGAUAGGCCGGGUGUGUAAGCGCAGCGAUGCGUUGAGCUAACCGGUACUAAUGAACCGUGAGGCUUAACCUU
This 3003-nucleotide ribosomal RNA is filed under the name Salmonella enterica subsp. enterica serovar Bovismorbificans. RNAcentral's name for it is "bacterial LSU rRNA". It matches the Rfam family "Bacterial large subunit ribosomal RNA". The record is from RNAcentral. Lineage: Bacteria; Pseudomonadati; Pseudomonadota; Gammaproteobacteria; Enterobacterales; Enterobacteriaceae.